GUGUUAGUUCUGUCGAUGUCACAGUGCGCUCCACGUGUGCCUCACAGAAGCACGUGACGCCUGGGCUGACUGGGCACAGACCAGCUACACACAACCUUUGAGGGUCCAAAUGGGCGAGUGUGACCAUCCUGCAGGAAAACGGCCUGUAGCAGAAAGUGGGGAGCAGUCUGUAAGGCUGGAGACAGAUGAGUAGGAGCUUGAUACAAGUCAGCCCCCUUUGUGCAUUGCUAAGAUCCAGAGGGCGGAGCAACCUUCUUGUGAUCCAGCAAGACCCUGCAUAAAGUCUGGUCCCUCGUUACAUACUUGCGGAAUUGAAUGUGAGGACGCAGGUGCAGCCCCAGCACAGGUGCAGGCCUCAGGAAAUGAACGGCCUAAAGGGGAAUUGGACAGUAAUGCACCACACGCUGCAACAGGGCUUCUUUCAAGAUUUAUAGAAGCAAAAGCUUUAAAGGACGACUGCCC
RNAcentral lists this long non-coding RNA (462 nucleotides) under Fukomys damarensis (Damara mole-rat). RNAcentral describes it as "lncRNA (ENSFDAG00000032957.1)". The record is from RNAcentral. Lineage: Eukaryota; Metazoa; Chordata; Mammalia; Rodentia; Bathyergidae.